RNAcentral lists this ribosomal RNA (187 nucleotides) under Klebsiella pneumoniae. RNAcentral's name for it is "partial 16S ribosomal RNA". It matches the Rfam family "Bacterial small subunit ribosomal RNA", at positions 1 to 183 of the family's 1533-position model. Lineage: Bacteria; Pseudomonadati; Pseudomonadota; Gammaproteobacteria; Enterobacterales; Enterobacteriaceae. RNAcentral also lists the same sequence under 1 other name. The record is from RNAcentral.
AAAUUGAAGAGUUUGAUCAUGGCUCAGAUUGAACGCUGGCGGCAGGCCUAACACAUGCAAGUCGAGCGGUAGCACAGAGAGCUUGCUCUCGGGUGACGAGCGGCGGACGGGUGAGUAAUGUCUGGGAAACUGCCUGAUGGAGGGGGAUAACUACUGGAAACGGUAGCUAAUACCGCAUAAUGUCGCA